UAUAGCUUUUUAAUUUCUCUCUUUCUAUAGUUUUCUUCAUAGAGUUUUUUUUUUUCAUUUUCUUAAAUGCUUUCAAGCUUUGUUUUCACCAUCAAUCCUUCAAUUGCAGAUUUCACCAUCAAUGCAGAUUUCAUGUAUGGUCAAGAUUAGAAGUUAGAGUCAUGUGAUCUUUAAUGUGUUUUUCUGGCUGUUUCUCGCUUGCAGGGAUGAUUUCCCCAACUUGCAAUUUCUAUUUUCUUUUGCCCUCCGAGUGACUUUGACGGUUCAAAGGUUGUGGAAUCUAACUUUGACUAUUUUUUACCCAAGUAGCUAUCUGAUUUUGUUAUCGAUUAAAUGAUUAUGCCUUUCUUAAAUACAAGUGAAAGAGCAGGAGAGAAAUUUAUAUGCGUGAAGCCAGAAUUUUUGGAUUUGUAUGUGAAAAGAACAUCUCAAUAUGUAUAUGGUUUUUUACUUUCUAUAAACUCAGUAGUUGUGUUUGGUAGCUGGUUGCCCAGUGAUAGUCCAUUGAUUAUAAUAGUUCAUUGGAGAACUCAAUGAUCAUACCUCAUUCCUCGAAAGAAAAAGCAGAAAUCUGGAAAGUUGAUUCCUAUACUUUUGGUGGAACAACAAUAAAGCUCAUGAUGAUUACAUGAUGUUCUUGAUCCUUUUAAGUUAAUGGAACUAUAGAGGUGGUGAACUGUUUAUGCUUUGUCUGAAAGACUUCGGAAGUGGAUUAAUAGAUCUAGAAGUAUGAUUUCACAAUGGUGUUAGCUUGGCACGGGCUCAAGAUGCAAGUUGAUUGUUUCACAUUAUGUCAGAUGAAAGUAGUGACCUGAUAGGUUAUUGGCUAUUCAUUUUUAUUAGUUUCUGGGGUUGGAGGAAGGGAAUGAAUUUCAAAUUAAGAUAGUUUCAUCUGUUCAACUUUGAUGUGGUUUUAUGGCAGGACUCUUUGUAAAAAUACUUGGUUUAUUGUCACCUAUGUAUUAGUAAAGUUGAUAAUAAAUUUUGUUGAUUUUAUCA
Long non-coding RNA from Lotus japonicus, 999 nucleotides. RefSeq lists it as uncharacterized. The transcript has 3 exons. Lineage: Eukaryota; Viridiplantae; Streptophyta; Magnoliopsida; Fabales; Fabaceae. The record is from RefSeq and is a predicted model, not a curated record.